Molecule: ribosomal RNA, 349 nt
Filed under: Grigorovia transvaalensis
Lineage: Eukaryota; Fungi; Ascomycota; Saccharomycetes; Saccharomycetales; Saccharomycetaceae
Description: Kazachstania transvaalensis ribosomal RNA
Source: RNAcentral
CCUUCUCAAACACCUGUGUUUGGUUGUGAGUGAUACUCUCUCUUUUGAGUUAGCUUGAAAGUGUUGGCCGAUUGCAGUUGUAUUGCAAAUGUGUACAGUUUUAGAUUGAGUAGUGUUGUGUGUGUGAAUUUUAUUUACACGGGCAAGCUGUCCAUUCAACUGUGUGUAUUUUGAGAUACUGUGCUGUGAAGAUGUACAAGGUCGUAUUAGGUUUUACCAACUCGAUUGCGUGUGUUUUUAUGGUUGUGGUAUGUUUGAGAUAUGCAUGGGGAUUAGUGAGUCUAGCAAUAUUGCUUUUCUGAGUUGUGCUUUAUUUUGUUUUUUCUGUGGCGAACAAUAUUCUCCAAGU